UACAGAGGUCUCAAGCGUUGUUCGGAUUCAUUGGGCGUAAAGGGUGCGUAGGUGGCGCCGUAAGUCAGGUGUGAAAUUUCGGAGCUUAACUCCGAAACUGCAUUUGAUACUGCGGUGCUUGAGGACUGGAGAGGAGACUGGAAUUUACGGUGUAGCAGUGAAAUGCGUAGAGAUCGUAAGGAAGACCAGUGGCGAAGGCGGGUCUCCGGACAGUUCCUGACACUGAGGCACGAAGGCCAGGGGAGCAAACGGG
RNAcentral lists this ribosomal RNA (253 nucleotides) under uncultured bacterium. RNAcentral describes it as "partial 16S ribosomal RNA". It matches the Rfam family "Bacterial small subunit ribosomal RNA", at positions 524 to 776 of the family's 1533-position model. The record is from RNAcentral.